GAUGAAGAACGUAGCGAAAUGCGAUAAGUAAUGUGAAUUGCAGAAUUCAGUGAAUCAUCGAAUCUUUGAACGCACAUUGCGCCCUCUGGUAUUCCGGGGGGCAUGCCUGUUCGAGCGUCAUUACAACCCUCAAGCUUUGCUUGGUAUUGGACAUUGCCAGUUUCUGGCAGGUCUUAAAAUCAGUGGCGGUGCCAUUUGGCUUCAAGCGUAGUAAUUCUUCUCGCUUUGGAGAUCCAGGUGGUUACUUGCCAAUAACACCCAAUUUUUUCAGGUUGACCUCGGAUCAGGUAGGGAUACCCGCUGAACUUAAGCAUAUCAAUAAGCGGAGGA
RNAcentral lists this unclassified non-coding RNA (330 nucleotides) under soil metagenome. Its description in RNAcentral is "partial contains 5.8S ribosomal RNA, internal transcribed spacer 2, and large subunit ribosomal RNA". The stretch from base 1 to 120 matches the Rfam family "5.8S ribosomal RNA", at positions 35 to 154 of the family's 154-position model. The record is from RNAcentral.